This 347-nucleotide unclassified non-coding RNA is filed under the name fungal sp. RNAcentral's name for it is "partial internal transcribed spacer region". The stretch from base 1 to 46 matches the Rfam family "Eukaryotic small subunit ribosomal RNA", at positions 1786 to 1831 of the family's 1831-position model. The record is from RNAcentral. Lineage: Eukaryota; Fungi.
AAGUCGUAACAAGGUUUCCGUAGGUGAACCUGCGGAAGGAUCAUUAACACGUAUCCAACGUUAAAACCCCCCGGUAAAUCAUCGCCGAACAGUUUUGAUUCAGGGACUUCUGCGUGGGUAGGACAACUGCGCGAGCAAGUGGCCUGGCAUCCCUCUGCUUGUUAGUGUCUGAAAGUGUCACUAGCUCUGUACGGGUGGCGCAAUCACGAUCGCUAGAGGCCAACACGGCCGGCGACCGGGUCAAUGGGCCCUCGGCCCCCUAAUCACCUUUGCAUGAAAACGGGCCUGCGCUUAAUUGUGCGGCCACCAAACUCGAACAACUGUUAACAAUGGAUAUCUUGGUUCUC